RNAcentral lists this ribosomal RNA (38 nucleotides) under uncultured Paraglomus. Its description in RNAcentral is "partial 28S ribosomal RNA". The record is from RNAcentral. Lineage: Eukaryota; Fungi; Glomeromycota; Glomeromycetes; Paraglomerales; Paraglomeraceae.
GGGCCUCAAAUCAGACAAGAGUACCCGCUGAACUUAAG